CCCAUCCUAGAAGCAGCAAUAAACAGAGUAAUUACAUCUCUCUCUACAGCAUCCAUCAUGGAACCAGCCUCUCGCAGUGCCAACAUCUAUUUCCCCAAGAGUAUUGCCUGGCUGUGAUAUUUCUGCUUGGAAAAUGGCUCUGUGGAGUUCAGUCACCAAGAUGCUUUAUUUGAUGUCGGCCAAGCAGGAAAUACCAGCACAAUUACCACUACAGUGUAAGUGCAUUAUUGGUUUUGGAAAAAGAACCAUAAAAGGCUCAGCAACCCACCCCAGCAGGAUCCUGUCCACAGCAACGUUGGUGGAAGAAGCAAUGAGGAGUUUCCAUGGAGUUGCCCUCGGACUCUCUGUAGCUUCACUGCUUUCAAAGAGCUGCACCAGGAACAAGAUGACCACAGACAGCAAGUAGCUCUUGCCAGCUCCAAAAACACCUGGGGUUUUGGAAGAAAAAGCCCAAGUUACAAGUGAUCAUCUGAGCCACGUGAAUCAGCGAUGCUGCUUGGUCUGGGUUCAGGGAGAACCUCUGGAUCAUCUCUUCAGCCACUCCCAUUGCCACUUGAGAGCUCACAGGGCCAGGCAUCAUGGAGCACUUCACACUCAUGGCAGAAAGAAAUCUUUACUCUUUAAAUGUAGAGAAAAUGUGUUAAAUCCUGCUGAAGUCCUGGGCUACUGGAAUAUUCAUAAAUCAUGAAGUGGCACAGCAUUUGAGGGUACCUCACCA
This is a long non-coding RNA of Zonotrichia leucophrys gambelii, 718 nucleotides long. RefSeq lists it as uncharacterized. The transcript has 4 exons. The record is from RefSeq and is a predicted model, not a curated record. NCBI's taxonomy places the organism in Eukaryota, Metazoa, Chordata, Aves, Passeriformes, Passerellidae.